AUACGGAGGGGGCUAGCGUUGUUCGGAAUUACUGGGCGUAAAGCGCACGUAGGCGGCACACAUAGUCAGAGGUGAAAGGCCUGGGCUCAACCUGGGAACUGCCUUUGAUACUGGUGAGCUAGAGUCCGGGAGAGGGUAGCGGAAUUCCCAGUGUAGAGGUGAAAUUCGUAGAUAUUGGGAAGAACACCGGUUGCGAAGGCGGCUACCUGGCCCGGUACUGACGCUGAGGUGCGAAAGCGUGGGGAGCAAACAGGAUUAGAAACCCCUGUAGUCC
This 274-nucleotide ribosomal RNA is filed under the name uncultured bacterium. Its description in RNAcentral is "partial 16S ribosomal RNA". It matches the Rfam family "Bacterial small subunit ribosomal RNA", at positions 523 to 796 of the family's 1533-position model. The record is from RNAcentral.